This 340-nucleotide long non-coding RNA is filed under the name Sus scrofa (pig). RNAcentral describes it as "lncRNA (ENSSSCG00070009581.1)". The record is from RNAcentral. Lineage: Eukaryota; Metazoa; Chordata; Mammalia; Artiodactyla; Suidae.
ACUGUGCGGAACACCAGGCAGGAGACACAGAUAUCCCACACAGCCUACCUUGAAGACAAUGUACGAAUAGAUCCUCAUCGACUUUUCCAACAAGGUCCAAGAAAAUUUCUCUUACACAAACACUCGCAAGGCAGAAGUAGAGCAGAGUCCCUUGAGACAUAAUUCUUAAGAUCACUCCAAGGUAAGAUUCCAGUGAAGUCAGGUACCCGUGACUGCAACUCUGGAGCAAGAUGCUUAACCUGUAAGUCUGUGCUUUAGGGACAAAUUGUCUCAUCCCACACCAGACUCUCUCUUCAGAAUAUGUAUACUUGUUUUCAGCAUUUGGCUGCAUGAUUUGGCA